AUUGAACGCUGGCGGCAGGCUUAACACAUGCAAGUCGAGCGGGGGAAGGUAGCUUGCUACCGGACCUAGCGGCGGACGGGUGAGUAAUGCUUAGGAAUCUGCCUAUUAGUGGGGGACAACAUCUCGAAAGGGAUGCUAAUACCGCAUACGUCCUACGGGAGAAAGCAGGGGAUCUUCGGACCUUGCGCUAAUAGAUGAGCCUAAGUCGGAUUAGCUCGUUGGUGGGGUAAAGGCCUACCAAGGCGACGAUCUGUAGCGGGUCUGAGAGGAUGAUCCGCCACACUGGGACUGAGACACGGCCCAGACGCCUACGGGAGGCAGCAGUGGGGAAUAUUGGACAAUGGGGGGAACCCUGAUCUAGCCAUGCCGCGUGUGUGAAGAAGGCCUUAUGGUUGUAAAGCACUUUAAGCGAGGAGGAGGCUACUUUAGUUAAUACCUAGAGAUAGUGGACGUUACUCGCAGAAUAAGCACCGGCUAACUCUGUGCCAGCAGCCGCAGUAA
This 501-nucleotide ribosomal RNA is filed under the name uncultured bacterium. Its description in RNAcentral is "partial 16S ribosomal RNA". It matches the Rfam family "Bacterial small subunit ribosomal RNA", at positions 30 to 523 of the family's 1533-position model. The record is from RNAcentral.